UUGUUAUCUUUCCUUGGCUUUCAAUGGAUCAAAUAAGCAUCUAAUCUAAAUAUAUGUAUGCAUGCACUCAUUUUAAUGUUCAAAUUAAUGUCAAAACAGAACUAAAAAAUCCCCUGCAACAGAACUAAAACACAAAAAAUUACUUAAAAAAUUUAAUUUAUUUGAAAUUUGGACCAAAUACACCUAGACUUUUUGUAGACUAAUUUUUACUUAUAUCUAAUUAUAGCUAAAAUAAUAGUCAAUAUUUAACAAUUGAUACUUAAAAGACAAUUUAGUAAUAGUCACAAAAAAUGUACUCAUUAGUGAUACUGCUACUUUUGAUUGUAUAAGAGAAAAUAUAGUUAACAAAGUUUAUGUAUCGAUCUUAAUUUUUUAUUUUAUAUCAGAUAAGUCAACUUUUAUUUAUUUAAUUAUCUCUUAUAUUUAAGACAUGCUGGUAUAUUAAGUUUAAAUAAAGAAUUUUCACACCGGAUGAAAAAUUAAUAUUGAACAUUGUAUAAGUGAAAAGAUCUAUAAAACUUAUUGCCUUAAAUAAAAACGUGGUUUUGAAUUCAGUUAUGUUAUGAUAAUCCAUUGAACUCCCUGAUGACCCAAGAGGCCCGGAGAUAGUACUAAUUUGUAAAGUAGUUAAAAAUAGUUAGGGAGUAAUGUGAAGGAAGCUAAAACAGAAAGAUGUAGCCACUACUCUAUGAAGCUACUAUACCUCAUUCAUGAGUGUGUGAGUCAUGUGACUGGCCUUGAAACUCCAUUCCAUUCACAUGGGUCUGUUUGAUGGCAUUGAAUAUGAAAUUUAAG
Molecule: long non-coding RNA, 795 nt
Filed under: Cicer arietinum (chickpea)
Lineage: Eukaryota; Viridiplantae; Streptophyta; Magnoliopsida; Fabales; Fabaceae
Description: long non-coding RNA (CARI_LNC002682)
Source: RNAcentral